CCUACGGGAGGCAGCAGUGAGGAAUAUUGGUCAAUGGCCGGAAGGCUGAACCAGCCAUGCCGCGUGAAGGUCAGUGCCCUUUGGGCUUUAAACUUCUUUUGUGCGGGAGCAAUAAUGGUCACUUGUGGCCAGACGAGAGUACCGUACGAAUAAUCAUCGGCUAACUCCGUACCAGCAGCCGCGGUCAUACGGGGGGUGGAAGCGUUAUCCGGAUUUAUUGGGGUUGAAGGGUGCGUAGGCUGUUGGGUAAGUCAGCGGGGCAAUGCCCCCGGUCAACGGGUUGAAGUGCAAUUGAUACUGGCUGGCUGGAGUGUGGGAGAGGUGGGAGGAAUGUGUGGUGUAGCGGUGAAAUGCGUAGAUAUCA
This 364-nucleotide ribosomal RNA is filed under the name uncultured bacterium. RNAcentral describes it as "partial 16S ribosomal RNA". It matches the Rfam family "Bacterial small subunit ribosomal RNA", at positions 338 to 699 of the family's 1533-position model. The record is from RNAcentral.